AGGAGCAUGGUGUAACGGUAACACAACGCUCUCCAAAAGCGUUAUUCAGGGUUCGAAUCCUUGUGCUCCUG
This 71-nucleotide transfer RNA is filed under the name Candidatus Flexifilum breve. RNAcentral describes it as "tRNA-Trp". It matches the Rfam family "tRNA". From Rfam's summary of the family: Transfer RNA (tRNA) molecules are approximately 80 nucleotides in length. Their secondary structure includes four short double-helical elements and three loops (D, anti-codon, and T loops). Further hydrogen bonds mediate the characteristic L-shaped molecular structure. tRNAs have two regions of fundamental functional importance: the anti-codon, which is responsible for specific mRNA codon recognition, and the 3' end, to which the tRNAs corresponding amino acid is attached (by aminoacyl-tRNA synthetases). tRNAs cope with the degeneracy of the genetic code in two manners: having more than one tRNA (with a specific anti-codon) for a particular amino acid; and 'wobble' base-pairing, i.e. permitting non-standard base-pairing at the 3rd anti-codon position. Lineage: Bacteria; Bacillati; Chloroflexota; Anaerolineae; Aggregatilineales; Candidatus Flexifilaceae. The record is from RNAcentral.